UACGGAGGGGGCAAGCGUUAUCCGGAUUCACUGGGCUUAAAGGGCGCGUAGGUGGUCAGGUAAGUCAGUGGUGAAAUCUCCGGGCUUAACCCGGAAACUGCCAUUGAUACUAUUUGUCUUGAAUACUGUGGAGGUCAGCGGAAUAUGUCAUGUAGCGGUGAAAUGCUUAGAUAUGACAUAGAACACCGAUUGCGAAGGCAGCUGGCUGCACAAAUAUUGACGCUGAGGCACGAAAGCGUGGGGAGCAAACAGG
Molecule: ribosomal RNA, 253 nt
Filed under: uncultured bacterium
Lineage: Bacteria
Description: partial 16S ribosomal RNA
Rfam family: Bacterial small subunit ribosomal RNA
Source: RNAcentral